GGGUUUACCCAUUGGUCAGGCUUAAUUGUCUGCACUGGUGAGAUAAAUCUCUACCUUCUGAGGAACUUUCAUGUCAUUAGUUUGGUGUGAUUGGAAAUCAGGACUGUUACUUUGAAAAAAUUAGAGUGUUUAAAGCAAGCUAACGCUUGAAUACAUUAGCAUGGAAUAAUGAAAUAGGACGUUCGAUCCUAUUUUGUUGGUUUCUAGGAUUGACGUA
Molecule: ribosomal RNA, 217 nt
Filed under: Campeiostachys nutans
Lineage: Eukaryota; Viridiplantae; Streptophyta; Magnoliopsida; Poales; Poaceae
Description: Elymus nutans partial small subunit ribosomal RNA
Rfam family: Eukaryotic small subunit ribosomal RNA (bases 48-217)
Source: RNAcentral